Long non-coding RNA from Cyprinus carpio (common carp), 1281 nucleotides. Lineage: Eukaryota; Metazoa; Chordata; Actinopteri; Cypriniformes; Cyprinidae. The record is from Ensembl.
AGGGAGAUGAAUGGAAAACAGCCUUCUCAACCACAUGCGGGCAAUACGAAUAUUUGGUUAUGCCGUUCGGGCUUUCCAACAGUCCGUCUGUCUUCCAAGCCUAUAUUAACGACAUGUUCCGUGAUAUGCUCAAUCGCUGGGUCAUUGUCUACAUUGACAACAUCCUCAUCUACUCGGAUUCCCUGGAGACACACGUGAAACACGUCCGAGCAGUUCUGCACUUCACCACAGCACCCAUCCUUCAUCAUCUAGAUCCCCAUCUCAAAUUCACGGUAGAGGUUGAUCCAUCCAACACAGGUAUCGGAGGCGUCUUGUCACAACGUCAGGGCAAUCCUCCUAAGCUAUUCCCCUGUACCUAUUAUUCACGCAAACUGAAUGGGGCCGAAAGCAAUUAUGGCGUGGGUGAUCGAGAAUUGCUGGCAAUAAAGGUGGCCUUUGUAGAAUGGAGGUAUUGGCAAGAGGGAACUAAAAUACCUUUCCUGGUACUCACCGAUCACCGCAACCUGGAAUACAUUCGCUCAGCCAAACAACUUAACCCAAGGCAAGCCCGAUGGUCACUCUUCUUUUCCCGCUUUGACUUCAAUGUCACAUACAGGCCAGGGUCCAAGAACUGUAAGGCAGAUGCAUUAUCCAGGUUACACCAUUCUUCACCUACUCUAAUAAGCACAGAAGAAACUGUAAUCCCACCAACUCUGAUUGUAGCACCAGUUCAAUGGGACAUUAUCACCGAGAUCACCAAAGCUCAGGUCAAUGAUCCACCACCGCCAAACUGCCCCAACGACCGAAUUUAUGUGCCAGUCGAUCUUCGUCAAUGUGUGUUGCAUCUGGUACAUGAUUCCCCCAGCUCAGGGCACCCCAGGAUUACAGCUUCAAUUCAGCUGGUGUCCGAACGCUUCUGGUGGCCAUCCCUAUCGCCGGAUACAAUUACAUUUGUUCAGCAAUGCCAGGUCUGUAAUAUGUCCAAAUCCUCUCACCAACGCCCUGCCGGUUUAUUACAACCCCUUCCCGUUCCUCAAUGCCCAUGGUCUCAUAUAGCCAUUGCCUUUGUUACUGAUCUCCCCAACUUCAGAAACCACACCACCAUUCUGACAGUAAUCGAUAGAUUUUCCAAGGCCUGCCGACUCAUACCCUUACCCAAACUGCCUACUGCUUUUGAAACCGCUGAAGCUCUUUUGGAACAGGUCUUCCACUUCUAUGGCCUUCCCAAGGAUAUAGUUUCUGACCGAGGCCCACAGUUCACCUUUCUGCCAACAACUCAACAUCAACAUCAGUCUCACCUCC